CCUACGGGAGGCAGCAGUCGAGAAUCAUUCACAAUGGGGGAAACCCUGAUGGUGCGACGCCGCGUGGGGGAAUGAAGGUCUUCGGAUUGUAAACCCCUGUCAUGUGGGAGCAAAUUAAAAAGAUAGUACCACAAGAGGAAGAGACGGCUAACUCUGUGCCAGCAGCCGCGGUACUACAGAGGUCUCAAGCGUUGUUCGGAAGCACUGGGCGUAAAGCGUGCGUAGGCUGUUUCGUAAGUCGUGUGUGAAAGGCGCGGGCUCAACCCGCGGACGGCACAUGAUACUGCGAGACUAGAGUAAUGGAGGGGGAACCGGAAUUCUCGGUGUAGCAGUGAAAUGCGUAGAUAUCGAGAGGAACACUCGUGGCGAAGGCGGGUUCCUGGACAUUAACUGACGCUGAGGCACGAAGGCCAGGGGAGCGAAAGGGAUUAGAUACCCUUGUAGUC
RNAcentral lists this ribosomal RNA (446 nucleotides) under uncultured bacterium. RNAcentral describes it as "partial 16S ribosomal RNA". It matches the Rfam family "Bacterial small subunit ribosomal RNA", at positions 338 to 795 of the family's 1533-position model. The record is from RNAcentral.